RNAcentral lists this ribosomal RNA (616 nucleotides) under Veillonella dispar. RNAcentral describes it as "bacterial SSU rRNA". It matches the Rfam family "Bacterial small subunit ribosomal RNA", at positions 924 to 1533 of the family's 1533-position model. Lineage: Bacteria; Bacillati; Bacillota; Negativicutes; Veillonellales; Veillonellaceae. The record is from RNAcentral.
CACAAGCGGUGGAGCAUGUGGUUUAAUUCGAAGCAACGCGAAGAACCUUACCAGGUCUUGACAUCCUUUGACCACUCUAGAGAUAGAGCUUCCCCUUCGGGGGCAAAGUGACAGGUGGUGCAUGGUUGUCGUCAGCUCGUGUCGUGAGAUGUUGGGUUAAGUCCCGCAACGAGCGCAACCCUUAUUGUUAGUUGCCAUCAUUCAGUUGGGCACUCUAGCAAGACUGCCGGUGACAAACCGGAGGAAGGUGGGGAUGACGUCAAAUCAUCAUGCCCCUUAUGACCUGGGCUACACACGUGCUACAAUGGGAAGUACAACGAGUCGCGAAGUCGCGAGGCUAAGCUAAUCUCUUAAAGCUUCUCUCAGUUCGGAUUGUAGGCUGCAACUCGCCUACAUGAAGCCGGAAUCGCUAGUAAUCGCGGAUCAGCACGCCGCGGUGAAUACGUUCCCGGGCCUUGUACACACCGCCCGUCACACCACGAGAGUUUGUAACACCCGAAGUCGGUGAGGUAACCUUUUGGAGCCAGCCGCCUAAGGUGGGAUAGAUGAUUGGGGUGAAGUCGUAACAAGGUAGCCGUAUCGGAAGGUGCGGCUGGAUCACCUCCUUUCUAAGGAA